Molecule: ribosomal RNA, 302 nt
Filed under: uncultured bacterium
Lineage: Bacteria
Description: partial 16S ribosomal RNA
Rfam family: Bacterial small subunit ribosomal RNA
Source: RNAcentral
GCAGUAGCCGCGGGAAAACGGAGGGAGCUAGCGUUGUUCGGAAUUACUGGGCGUAAAGCGUGCGUAGGCGGCUUUUUAAGUCGGAUGUGAAAUCCCUGAGCUUAACUUAGGAAUUGCAUUCGAUACUGGGAAGCUAGAGUAUGGGAGAGGAUGGUAGAAUUCCAGGUGUAGCGGUGAAAUGCGUAGAGAUCUGGAGGAAUACCGAUGGCGAAGGCAGCCAUCUGGCCUAAUACUGACGCUGAGGUACGAAAGCAUGGGGAGCAAACAGGAUUAGAUACCCGGGUAGUCCCUGUCUUUAUACA